GAUGAACGCUGGCGGCGUGCCUAAUACAUGCAAGUCGAGCGAACGGACGAGAAGCUUGCUUCUCUGAUGUUAGCGGCGGACGGGUGAGUAACACGUGGAUAACCUACCUAUAAGACUGGGAUAACUUCGGGAAACCGGAGCUAAUACCGGAUAAUAUUUUGAACCGCAUGGUUCAAAAGUGAAAGACGGUCUUGCUGUCACUUAUAGAUGGAUCCGCGCUGCAUUAGCUAAUUGGUAAGGUAACGGCUUACCAAGGCAACGAUGCAUAGCCGACCUGAGAGGGUGAUCGGCCACACUGGAAUUGAGACACGGUCCAGACUCCUACGGGAGGCAGCAGUAGGGAAUCUUCCGCAAUGGGCGAAAGCCUGACGGAGCAACGCCGCGUGAGUGAUGAAGGUCUUCGGAUCGUAAAACUCUGUUAUUAGGGAAGAACAUAUGUGUAAGUAACUGUGCACAUCUUGACGGUACCUAAUCAGAAAGCCACGGCUAACUACGUGCCAGCAGCCGCGGUAAUACGUAGGUGGCAAGCGUUAUCCGGAAUUAUUGGGCGUAAAGCGCGCGUAGGCGGUUUUUUAAGUCUGAUGUGAAAGCCCACGGCUCAACCGUGGAGGGUCAUUGGAAACUGGAAAACUUGAGUGCAGAAGAGGAAAGUGGAAUUCCAUGUGUAGCGGUGAAAUGCGCAGAGAUAUGGAGGAACACCAGUGGCGAAGGCGACUUUCUGGUCUGUAACUGACGCUGAUGUGCGAAAGCGUGGGGAUCAAACAGGAUUAGAUACUCUGGUAGUCCACGCCGUAAACGAUGAGUGCUAAGUGUUAGGGGGUUUCCGCCCCUUAGUGCUGCAGCUAACGCAUUAAGCACUCCGCCUGGGGAGUACGACCGCAAGGUUGAAACUCAAAGGAAUUGACGGGGACCCGCACAAGCGGUGGAGCAUGUGGUUUAAUUCGAAGCAACGCGAAGAACCUUACCAAAUCUUGACAUCCUUUGACAACUCUAGAGAUAGAGCCUUCCCCUUCGGGGGACAAAGUGACAGGUGGUGCAUGGUUGUCGUCAGCUCGUGUCGUGAGAUGUUGGGUUAAGUCCCGCAACGAGCGCAACCCUUAAGCUUAGUUGCCAUCAUUAAGUUGGGCACUCUAAGUUGACUGCCGGUGACAAACCGGAGGAAGGUGGGGAUGACGUCAAAUCAUCAUGCCCCUUAUGAUUUGGGCUACACACGUGCUACAAUGGACAAUACAAAGGGCAGCGAAACCGCGAGGUCAAGCAAAUCCCAUAAAGUUGUUCUCAGUUCGGAUUGUAGUCUGCAACUCGACUACAUGAAGCUGGAAUCGCUAGUAAUCGUAGAUCAGCAUGCUACGGUGAAUACGUUCCCGGGUCU
This 1372-nucleotide ribosomal RNA is filed under the name uncultured bacterium. RNAcentral describes it as "bacterial SSU rRNA". It matches the Rfam family "Bacterial small subunit ribosomal RNA", at positions 28 to 1381 of the family's 1533-position model. The record is from RNAcentral.